CACAGAGAAGGACAACAUGGAAAUCACAUUACUCUGGAAUUAAUUAAAAGAAAGCUUGUCUUUUUUCUUAAUUCAGAGGCAAUGCUAAGCUGCCUUCCACUAUUGCUCCUGUGACCCUCACCCUGGGCAGCCUGCUGGAUGACCAGCACUGGCAUUCCGUCCUCAUCGAGCUCAUCAUUUCCAAGCAAAGGGAGAUUCCAGUAACUUGGAUCUUAAUUUUGAGAUCAGCUUUGGGGGAAUUCCGACACCCGGAAGAUCGCGGGCAUUCACACGUAAAAGCUUUCAUGGGUGUUUAGAAAAUCUUUAUUAUAAUGGAGUGGAUGUUACCGAAU
RNAcentral lists this long non-coding RNA (332 nucleotides) under Homo sapiens (human). Its description in RNAcentral is "non-protein coding lnc-ZNF658-5:1". The record is from RNAcentral. Lineage: Eukaryota; Metazoa; Chordata; Mammalia; Primates; Hominidae.